AACGAACGCUGGCGGCGUGCCUAAUACAUGCAAGUCGAACGAGAAAACUCCCUUCGGGGAGCCAGUAAAGUGGCGCACGGGUGAGUAACACGUGGGUAAUCUACCCCGGAGCCCGGGACAACGUUGGGAAACCGACGCUAAUACCGGAUAAGCUCACAGGUCCCCUGGGACCAGGGAGAAAAGAGGGCCUCUUCAUGAAAGCUCUUUCUCCGGGAUGAGCUCGCGCACCAUUAGCUAGUUGGUGAGGUAAUGGCCCACCAAGGCGACGAUGGUUAGCUGGUCUGAGAGGAUGAUCAGCCACACUGGGACUGACACACGGCCCAGACUCCUACGGGUGGCAG
This 341-nucleotide ribosomal RNA is filed under the name uncultured Pseudomonadota bacterium. Its description in RNAcentral is "bacterial SSU rRNA". It matches the Rfam family "Bacterial small subunit ribosomal RNA", at positions 29 to 351 of the family's 1533-position model. The record is from RNAcentral. Lineage: Bacteria; Pseudomonadati; Pseudomonadota.